Molecule: transfer RNA, 65 nt
Filed under: Dipodomys ordii (Ord's kangaroo rat)
Lineage: Eukaryota; Metazoa; Chordata; Mammalia; Rodentia; Heteromyidae
Rfam family: tRNA
About the family: Transfer RNA (tRNA) molecules are approximately 80 nucleotides in length.
Source: Rfam by way of RNAcentral
GGUGGCUUAGUGGUAGAGCGCUUGCCUUACAAGCAUGAGGCCCUGGGUUUGAUUCCUCAGCACCA